AUGCCGCACCAUGUGCGCCUUUGCCUCGAGGGGCUGCCGCUGCAGGCAUGGGACGCCCAGGCUGUGGCCUCUGCGAUCGGCACCAACUGCUCAAUAGACUACAUCGAGCCGGCGUCUUGCCUGAAGACGGACACAGUGGCGCUCUGCCUGUGGGCGUGGGCGACGUGCCCCAGCAAGAUUCCGAGGGUCAACUGGAUCACCCUACCGGCGCGCGAAGGCGGCGAGCCGGUGUAUGGUCGGCGUGGUCUGCAGCACAGGGUCCUUCUUCACCUCUCCAUCCAUGAGCAGAAGGUGGGCGGGCGCACUGUUUCAGAGGGCUUCACCUGGCGUCGCAACGUCGUCGAUGGCGAGACGGUGCCCAGGGACCGUAGGGAGCGCAUCUCCCGCCCAGCGCCACGUCACGACAGGCGCGACAGUGACGAUGACGAAGACCGUCGCCGCGGUGGAGAUCGGCGCGGCCGUGACGACGCCGCCGGCAGGAGCAGCUGGGGCGCGCGCAUAAGGCGCAGCCUCUCCCGCAAUCACCGCGAAAAGCCGCGGAACCAAGACAGAGGCCGGGGCGACCGCGACGGGAGGGAGGACCGCGGCAACCGUCGCCGUGAUGUCGUGGGCGUGCCGGCCGUGGUCCUGCAGGGCUCAGGCUCCGCCUCCUCGGCUGUGGCCCGCAGCCUGGAGGACGACCCUGCGGUGCCCGCACAGCAGCAACUCCUUCUUGGCUCUGCCCCGACGGUGGUGGACGGUCCGGUGCAGCCGGUGCUGGCUGUGCGGAGAGGGCGCAGCCCGGCCCGGGCACGCUCGCCUGGCAUGAUCCGGCGUCGCUCCCAGGACAACCGGACGCCGCCGUCAUCACCGCCUCUAUCACCAACGUCCGUGCUCCCGCCGGUGCCACGUUCAAAGCGGGAUGAGGCCAGGCGCUCCGCGUCCAUCGGCUUCAUUCCGUCCCAGGCAACUCUGGAGCUUUGCUCCCCUUCCGUGCUGCUGCUGCCUUUGGCUUCGCCAGCAAGGCCACCGGGUUUCGAGAGCUCGCCUACGCCGCCGCUCGUCCCCGCCGGGCCGGUGCGCCGCACACCUUCUCCCCCGCGCAGGCGGGUUGUGGUGGUGGCCGAUGCCGACCUCGAGCCGCUCUUCAAGGAGAGGGUGGAGGCCCUCCUCCCAACGCCUGCUCCUAGGCCUACAACAGCGCGCCGCAAAACGAUGGCUGGGGUGACUAUCAGCCGCGCCGGUGGGUUCACGCUGCAAAGGACAACCGCCAGGCUGCGAGUUGCUGGGCAGGCCAAGGUCACUCCGGUCGCAAAGGCGGCGGAGGCCCUGGUUUGUCGCGGUCUCGGCAUCACCAAGAACGGCCAAGAUGUCACGGUGGAGAUGCUCAACGCUUUCACAGACCGUUUCAAGGAGCAACUUCCACCGGAGGUGAUCAUAGCCAUGAGAGACAUGUUUAAGCUGGACGAUGUCGGAGCGACUGCUGUUGAGGAUGCUCUUCUGCAGCACGGAGGUGCAGGAGCGCUGGAUGUGGACAAUGGCCAGGACGCCAUUUGA
Molecule: ribosomal RNA, 1536 nt
Filed under: Triticum aestivum (bread wheat)
Lineage: Eukaryota; Viridiplantae; Streptophyta; Magnoliopsida; Poales; Poaceae
Description: partial small subunit ribosomal RNA
Source: RNAcentral